This 463-nucleotide ribosomal RNA is filed under the name Veillonella parvula. Its description in RNAcentral is "bacterial SSU rRNA". It matches the Rfam family "Bacterial small subunit ribosomal RNA", at positions 28 to 464 of the family's 1533-position model. Lineage: Bacteria; Bacillati; Bacillota; Negativicutes; Veillonellales; Veillonellaceae. The record is from RNAcentral.
GACGAACGCUGGCGGCGUGCUUAACACAUGCAAGUCGAACGAAGAGCGACGGAAGCUUGCUUCUAUCAAUCUUAGUGGCGAACGGGUGAGUAACGCGUAAUCAACCUGCCCUUCAGAGGGGGACAACAGUUGGAAACGACUGCUAAUACCGCAUACGAUCUAAUCUCGGCAUCGAGGAUAGAUGAAAGGUGGCCUCUACAUGUAAGCUAUCACUGAAGGAGGGGAUUGCGUCUGAUUAGCUAGUUGGAGGGGUAACGGCCCACCAAGGCGAUGAUCAGUAGCCGGUCUGAGAGGAUGAACGGCCACAUUGGGACUGAGACACGGCCCAGACUCCUACGGGAGGCAGCAGUGGGGAAUCUUCCGCAAUGGACGAAAGUCUGACGGAGCAACGCCGCGUGAGUGAUGACGGCCUUCGGGUUGUAAAGCUCUGUUAAUCGGGACGAAAGGCCUUCUUGCAAAUAUU